RNAcentral lists this ribosomal RNA (817 nucleotides) under uncultured bacterium. RNAcentral's name for it is "bacterial SSU rRNA". It matches the Rfam family "Bacterial small subunit ribosomal RNA", at positions 70 to 898 of the family's 1533-position model. The record is from RNAcentral.
UGACGAGGAGCUUGCUCCUCUGAUCAGUGGCGAACGGGUGAGUAACACGUGAGCAACCUGCCCCAGACUCUGGGAUAACAGUUGGAAACAGCUGCUAAUACCGGAUACGAGACGGAGAGGCAUCUCUACCGUCUGGAAAGUUUUUCGGUCUGGGAUGGACUCGCGGCCUAUCAGCUAGUUGGUGAGGUAAUGGCUCACCAAGGCGACGACGGGUAGCCGGCCUGAGAGGGCGACCGGCCACACUGGGACCGAGACACGGCCCAGACUCCUACGGGAGGCAGCAGUGGGGAAUAUUGCACAAUGGGCGAAAGCCUGAUGCAGCGACGCCGCGUGAGGGAUGACGGCCUUCGGGUUGUAAACCUCUUUCAGCAGGGAAGAAGCGAAAGUGACGGUACCUGCAAAAGAAGCACCGGCUAACUACGUGCCAGCAGCCGCGGUAAUACGUAGGGUGCGAGCGUUGUCCGGAAUUAUUGGGCGUAAAGAGCUUGUAGGCGGUUUGUCGCGUCUGCAGUGAAAAUCCGAGGCUCAACCUCGGACUUGCUGUGGGUACGGGCAGACUAGAGUAUGGUAGGGGAGACCGGAAUUCCUGGUGUAGCGGUGGAAUGCGCAGAUAUCAGGAGGAACACCGAUGGCGAAGGCAGGUCUCUGGGCCAUAACUGACGCUGAGAAGCGAAAGCAUGGGGAGCGAACAGGAUUAGAUACCCUGGUAGUCCAUGCCGUAAACGUUGGGCGCUAGGUGUGGGGCUCAUUCCACGAGCUCCGUGCCGCAGCUAACGCAUUAAGCGCCCCGCCUGGGGAGUACAGCCGCAAGGCUAAA